GAUCAGUUUAGCAUACAUUAAGUAAAGAUUUCAACAGUUUGCUCCCACACAGAAACAUAAAGUGAAAAAUACUAUUUGAGUACUAGUUAUAGCAUUAAAUCACAAUGUACAGCACAUUAAGGACAGAGAUCCUACAUGAGGAGUAAGUGCACAGUGACUCCUGUUGUUGACUUAACAAAUUGACACUCUUGUUUAUGACAUCAGUAAUCACCCUAGGCUCUUGUCAUGAGCUGCCAAGGCUAUGGAAGCCCCCUGAGUUCACUGACUCUGAUCAUUUUUAGACAAGGCCAUGGUCAAAGUGGAAGUUUUCUCCUCCCUUCAGAGAAAGGUACCUCCUUCUUUGAUGACCCGUUCUUUCCACUGGGAUCUCACUCGUGGAGAUCUUUCAUUUAGGUUCCCCUCCCCCCAGAGUGUCUUGGCUUUCCAUGCCUGAAAUACUCUCAUGGGCAUUUCAGCCGGAUCCGCAUGCCUUAAGGGCUGAUUAUGAGGCCAGAGUGCUGUUAGGACAUUUGCCAUUCUAUGGGUCUGCUGUGUAUCUCACUUCCCAUGUUGGACCAUUCUCUCCCUUUUUUAUCUGUUAAUGUUCUUGAAUGUCUUGAUUACCUUUAGAGCCCAAAUUCAGAAGAACAAUGGCCUUAAGAUGAUGGUUUCAGUGGGGUCGAAUGGUGGCUUUGUCUGAAAGUUUCUGUGCCAGCAACAGAGAGGUCUCUGAUGUGCCUGUAUUGUGCUACUAUGAAUGAAUCCCCCCAAUUUGACAGAUAUUCCCUUGGAUUUGCCACCUGAUUUUUGUGGUAACUCUAUAUGUGAACCAAUGUGUUGGGAGUCUGGUUGUCUUCUUGAGUCACCAAGAAGAGAAGAUCUGGCAGGGAAGGAAGAUGGGAUAGGAAAAGAUCCCUCGAUAUUUGUAAAGGUAGCAAGAGAGCCUAGGAAUUGUGAGGCUAAACACUGCACUCUGGGCCAUCAGUUUGAGAGUGGCUGAUUCUGGAAGGAAUCACUUAUGCCAUCAUAUCCUAGCCAGGAGGGCAAUUCUGAGACCCUCAUUAUCCAUGUUUACACUGAAAAAAAUAAAUAUUUUGAGACUCUCA
Molecule: long non-coding RNA, 1085 nt
Filed under: Oryctolagus cuniculus (rabbit)
Lineage: Eukaryota; Metazoa; Chordata; Mammalia; Lagomorpha; Leporidae
Description: lncRNA (ENSOCUG00000034285.1)
Source: RNAcentral